This 496-nucleotide ribosomal RNA is filed under the name uncultured bacterium. Its description in RNAcentral is "partial 16S ribosomal RNA". It matches the Rfam family "Bacterial small subunit ribosomal RNA", at positions 28 to 506 of the family's 1533-position model. The record is from RNAcentral.
GAUGAACGCUGGCGGCGUGCCUAAUACAUGCAAGUCGAGCGAACAGACGAGGAGCAUGCUCCUCUGACGUUAGCGGCGGACGGGUGAGUAACACGUGGAUAACCUACCUAUAAGACUGGGAUAACUUCGGGAAACCGGAGCUAAUACCGGAUAAUAUAUUGAACCGCAUGGUUCAAUAGUGAAAGACGGUUUUGCUGUCACUUAUAGAUGGAUCCGCGCCGCAUUAGCUAGUUGGUAAGGUAACGGCUUACCAAGGCAACGAUGCGUAGCCGACCUGAGAGGGUGAUCGGCCACACUGGAACUGAGACACGGUCCAGACUCCUACGGGAGGCAGCAGUAGGGAAUCUUCCGCAAUGGGCGAAAGCUUGACGGAGCAACGCCGCGUGAGUGAUGAAGGUCUUCGGAUCGUAAAACUCUGUUAUUAGGGAAGAACAAAUGUGUAAGUAACUAUGCACGUCUUGACGGUACCUAAUCAGAAAGCCACGGCUAACUACGU